UCAAGAAUUCAUAGAAUUGUUUUAAAAUUACAUAGGGAAGCAAAUUGAGUGAAGUAAACAAUUUAUGGAAUUGACUCUUACAUUAGAGGGUGAUCUUACAUUUUGUCUAUGGGAUUAAGUAGGGCUUAAGUUGAAUCAUCGCCCAUAAAUGGGUACCAAUUCAAUGCCAAUUCCUAGUAUCUCUUACAUGAAUUUCAUGGUUGAUUGGAUGAUUAGACUGCUGCUCAUGUAUUUGCUUGUGAAUCCAAAAUACCAUCAGUUGAUUGCAAAGAAUAGAAGCUGAACCUACUUUAACCAACAUGUCUUAAGUCUGUACUUGGUACUAGUAAUAGCAAAACAGAGAAAGGGUGUGUUGAUCAUAAGUGUUAGAUCAGUGGCCUACAGAAAUUCUUGGGGGUAUUGAGUUGCAUAUUCUCUUAAUCUGAUUAUCUCUCACAAUCUCUGACAUUGUCCACCCAAUUAACUAUCUUGGUUGAGGAGGUGGUGGUUGCAUAACAAUAGCGGAUGGUUCAGUUGGAACUGGAGUUUGUGGUAUGACAAUAGGUUUCUCCAUAGAGUAGCGACGAGACCCUCCGAAACUCUCUAUGGAUUUCAUGUAUUCUGACGCAUUGUUUUCUAUGAUAAAAGCAUCCUCGAGUUCACGAACAAUGUCAGCCAUGCAUGGGCGAUAAGCUGAGUAAGGCUCAAUACAUGCCAAAGCUACCUCCACCACUCUCCACAUUGCUUCAGCAUGGUAUCCUCCCUUUAUGUUAGGGUCCACAAUUUCUUCGAUUCUUGAGUUCCUUAUAUGGGGCUUGGCCUAUAUUCAAGAAAAGUUGCUUGUAUGGUCAAACAUGAAUAACUUUAAUAAAUAUACAAUGACUUAAUUGAGAGAGAGAGGAGUAAGAAGUGUAACAUUAAGCUCUUUUGCUUUAAAAUUUACGAAAAAGUAUUGUUGAUAAGUCUUCAUCAAGGUCAUGAUUUACCUAGCAAAGAUCUAGUUAAGGACCAAUUUAUAUGUUUUGUGUUCAAAUUUCUUCAUUACAAGUAAAAUAAUAUUUAUUUUCUUCUGCUGGUGAUUGAACAAAGUAAUCCUCCAGAUACACUUUCCUUUUCAGCCUAUUAGAUUUUUGGGAGUUUCUUGCACAUCUACUUGCUUCAAUUUUUGCUCAUUAAGUGUGUGUUCUGUCAAAUCAGAACAUUGUAUAUGCCUCCAUACAAAUGCAGUUCUUUUUGUCUUGCUCUCCGAAUGGGGAUGUAAGUUCGUUUGUUAGAAAAGCAGGUAUGUGUGGGUGCAUUGUGCAGAAUUUUAAGACUUUAGGUUGCAAUGAGCAAUGAGCAAUUGAUAAUGAUUAAUAUAAACUAAUCUUUUGAGCAUUUGACAUCUUCAUUUGGUUGACUUCAUCCUUUUUUGUUCAAGAGACUUGGCUAAUGUUUGGCUUAUAAAUUAUUUAUAAACACUUAAGCCACUUUUUCUCCACACAUUUCGAGGGAUCCACAAGUACUAACUUGUCUGCCAAUUAUUUCUAUCCAUUUAUAAUUUAAGCAGUUUAUAAACACUUUCCAAACAUUCUUUUAAUCAUUUGUGAUAAAUGAUUAAAAUAAUUAACAUGUGUCUCUAGGACCAAGUACUUUUAUCUAAUCAUUGCAAGUGUCCUUCAUGAAGAGUCUCAAAAUCAUAUUGCUGAAAUUAUCAGCACUCAUUAAAGGGCAUUGGUGGAGUGGAACGCCAAUGAAUCCUCCUUCCAAUUCUUAUCCUCUAACUUAAGCUGGCUCCAAAAUUACUGUAAAACAUUGUAACAUUUUUAAUAGCAUUAUAUUAUUUUAUUGUUCCCGAGUCCUACCUCCACCCUGGUCACACAAUACUGUAAGGUGCAUACAGAGACAAAGUGCUAUGCACUCCUGGUGGUUACAAUGUGUCGAUUAGAUUUAGAUCUUGCACCAUGAUCAUUGCCUAUUUUGGAAAGUAAAGACAUGAAGAUUUUGGUUGGCAUCAUUUUUAUUCUUUGUUGGGAAAAAAAUGGCAACUAGACGCUUUUUUUCGUAUUAAUGGUUAUCAUGGCACACGUAUCAUAUGAUAUUCUUAGAAUGGUAUCAGCGGUAUCAGCAUUUCAUUGAAGAACUUAGGCCUUGUUUGAUUCCAAUUCUUCUCAAAAUACAUGUUUCUCUCUCUUUUUUUCAACCUCACAGUAGUCAUUAAAAUAAUAUUGCACAUAAAUAAAAAACUUUUCCUUAUUUUUCAACUAUACAUUUCCCAACAAUCUAUUAUUCUAAAAUGCAUUUUUUCAUAAAAAUGGGGCUCAAACACCCUUUUAAUGUCAAUGGUCAAGAAUUCAUAGAAUUGUUUUAAAAUUACAUAGGGAAGCAAAUUGAGUGAAGUAAACAAUUUAUGGAAUUGACUCUUACAUUAGAGGGUGAUCUUACAUUUUGUCUAUGGGAUUAAGUAGGGCUUAAGUUGAAUCAUCGCCCAUAAAUGGGUACCAAUUCAAUGCCAAUUCCUAGUAUCUCUUACAUGAAUUUCAUGGUUGAUUGGAUGAUUAGACUGCUGCUCAUGUAUUUGCUUGUGAAUCCAAAAUACCAUCAGUUGAUUGCAAAGAAUAGAAGCUGAACCUACUUUAACCAACAUGUCUUAAGUCUGUACUUGGUACUAGUAAUAGCAAAACAGAGAAAGGGUGUGUUGAUCAUAAGUGUUAGAUCAGUGGCCUACAGAAAUUCUUGGGGGUAUUGAGUUGCAUAUUCUCUUAAUCUGAUUAUCUCUCACAAUCUCUGACAUUGUCCACCCAAUUAACUAUCUUGGUUGAGGAGGUGGUGGUUGCAUAACAAUAGCGGAUGGUUCAGUUGGAACUGGAGUUUGUGGUAUGACAAUAGGUUUCUCCAUAGAGUAGCGACGAGACCCUCCGAAACUCUCUAUGGAUUUCAUGUAUUCUGACGCAUUGUUUUCUAUGAUAAAAGCAUCCUCGAGUUCACG
RNAcentral lists this long non-coding RNA (2947 nucleotides) under Olea europaea (common olive). RNAcentral describes it as "long non-coding RNA (OEUR_LNC010990)". Lineage: Eukaryota; Viridiplantae; Streptophyta; Magnoliopsida; Lamiales; Oleaceae. The record is from RNAcentral.